This 940-nucleotide ribosomal RNA is filed under the name Trametes ochracea. Its description in RNAcentral is "LSU rRNA". It matches the Rfam family "Eukaryotic large subunit ribosomal RNA", at positions 38 to 965 of the family's 3401-position model. The record is from RNAcentral. Lineage: Eukaryota; Fungi; Basidiomycota; Agaricomycetes; Polyporales; Polyporaceae.
GCAUAUCAAUAAGCGGAGGAAAAGAAACUAACAAGGAUUCCCCUAGUAACUGCGAGUGAAGCGGGAAAAGCUCAAAUUUAAAAUCUGGCGGUCUUUGGCCGUCCGAGUUGUAGUCUGGAGAAGCGUCUUCCGCGUUGGACCGUGUACAAGUCUCUUGGAACAGAGCGUCAUAGAGGGUGAGAAUCCCGUCUUUGACACGGACUACCAAUGCUUUGUGAUGCGCUCUCAAAGAGUCGCGUUGUUUGGGAAUGCAGCGCAAAAUGGGAGGUGAAUUCCUUCUAAAGCUAAAUAUUGGCGAGAGACCGAUAGCGAACAAGUACCGUGAGGGAAAGAUGAAAAGCACUUUGGAAAGAGAGUUAAACAGUACGUGAAAUUGCUAAAAGGGAAACGCUUGAAGUCAGUCGCGUCGUCCGGAACUCAGCUUUGCUUCGGCUUAGUGCACUUUCCGGUUGACGGGCCAGCAUCGAUUUUGACCGCUGGAAAAGGGCUGGAGGAAUGUGGCACCUUCGGGUGUGUUAUAGCCUUCAGUCGCAUACAGCGGUUGGGAUCGAGGAACGCAGCGCGCCUUAUGGCUGGGGUUCGCCCACAUUCGCGCUUAGGAUGCUGGCAUAAUGGCUUUAAACGACCCGUCUUGAAACACGGACCAAGGAGUCUAACAUGCCUGCGAGUGUUUGGGUGGAAAACCCGAGCGCGUAAUGAAAGUGAAAGUUGAGACCUCUGUCGUGGAGGGCAUCGACGCCCGGACCUGACGUUUUCUGAAGGAUCCGCGGUAGAGCAUGUAUGUUGGGACCCGAAAGAUGGUGAACUAUGCCUGAAUAGGGUGAAGCCAGAGGAAACUCUGGUGGAGGCUCGUAGCGAUUCUGACGUGCAAAUCGAUCGUCAAAUUUGGGUAUAGGGGCGAAAGACUAAUCGAACCAUCUAGUAGCUGGUUCCUGCCGAA